RNAcentral lists this ribosomal RNA (422 nucleotides) under uncultured bacterium. Its description in RNAcentral is "bacterial SSU rRNA". It matches the Rfam family "Bacterial small subunit ribosomal RNA", at positions 359 to 773 of the family's 1533-position model. The record is from RNAcentral.
GAAUUUUGGACAAUGGGCGCAAGCCUGAUCCAGCCAUGCCGCGUGCAGGAUGAAGGCCUUCGGGUUGUAAACUGCUUUUGUACGGAACGAAAAGACUCUGGUUAAUACCUGGGGUCCAUGACGGUACCGUAAGAAUAAGCACCGGCUAACUACGUGCCAGCAGCCGCGGUAAUACGUAGGGUGCGAGCGUUAAUCGGAAUUACUGGGCGUAAAGCGUGCGCAGGCGGUUAUGUAAGACAGAUGUGAAAUCCCCGGGCUCAACCUGGGAACUGCAUUUGUGACUGCAUAGCUAGAGUACGGCAGAGGGGGAUGGAAUUCCGCGUGUAGCAGUGAAAUGCGUAGAUAUGCGGAGGAACACCGAUGGCGAAGGCAAUCCCCUGGGCCUGUACUGACGCUCAUGCACGAAAGCGUGGGGAGCAAAC